RNAcentral lists this ribosomal RNA (433 nucleotides) under uncultured bacterium. Its description in RNAcentral is "partial 16S ribosomal RNA". It matches the Rfam family "Bacterial small subunit ribosomal RNA", at positions 29 to 507 of the family's 1533-position model. The record is from RNAcentral.
AACGAACGCUGGCGGCAUGCCUAACACAUGCAAGUCGAACGAGACCUUCAGGUCUAUUGGCGCACGGGUGCGUAACGCGUGGGAACCUGCCCUUAGGUUCGGAAUAACUCCCCGAAAGGGGUGCUAAUACCGGAUAAUGUCUUCGGACCAAAGAUUUAUCGCCUUUGGAUGGGCCCGCGUUGGAUUAGCUAGUGGGUAGGGUAAAAGCCUACCAAGGCGACGAUCCAUAGCUGGUCUGAGAGACUGAUCAGCCACACUGGGACUGAGACACGGCCCAGACUCCUACGGGAGGCAGCAGUGGGGAAUAUUGGACAGUGGGCGAAAGCCUGAUCCAGCAAUGCCGCGUGAGUGAUGAAGGCGUUAGGGUUGUAAAGCUCUUUUACCCGGGAUGAUAAUGACAGUACCGGGAGAAUAAGCUCCGGCUAACUCCGUG